UCUGCCUGGUAGUGGGGGAUAACGUCCGGAAACGGGCGCUAAUACCGCAUACGUCCCACGGGGGAAAGCAGGGGAUCUUCGGACCUUGCGCUACCAGAUGAGCCCAGGCCGGAUUAGCUAGUUGGUGAGGUAAUGGCUCACCAAGGCCGCGAUCCGUAGCUGGUCUGAGAGGAUGAUCAGCCACACUGGGACUGAGACACGGCCCAGACUCCUACGGGAGGCAGCAGUGGGGAAUAUUGGACAAUGGGCGCAAGCCUGAUCCAGCCAUGCCGCGUGUGUGAAGAAGGUCUUCGGAUUGUAAAGCACUUUAAGUUGGGAGGAAGGGUUGUAGCCUAAUACGCUGUAACUUUGACGUUACCGACAGAAUAAGCACCGGCUAACUCUGUGCCAGCAGCCGCGGUAAUACAGAGGGUGCAAGCGUUAAUCGGAAUUACUGGGCGUAAAGCGCGCGUAGGUGGUUCAGUAAGAUGGGUGUGAAAUCCCCGGGCUCAACCUGGGAACUGCUUUCAUAACUGCUGAGCUAGAGUACGGUAGAGGGUAGUGGAAUCUCCUGUGUAGCGGUGAAAUGCGUAGAUAUAGGAAGGAACACCAGUGGCAAAGGCGACUACCUG
This 611-nucleotide ribosomal RNA is filed under the name uncultured bacterium. RNAcentral describes it as "bacterial SSU rRNA". It matches the Rfam family "Bacterial small subunit ribosomal RNA", at positions 125 to 731 of the family's 1533-position model. The record is from RNAcentral.